GACUCAUUUUGUGUCUAGGCCCCACAGAGGUGGGAGUCCUACUCUCACAAAUCUUUAGGGAGCCAAAAAGACAAUGAGCCUGAUUCAAACUAUGCUGAUAAAGAGAAAAAGAAGAGGAAGCUGAUGCCAAAGGAGUGGUGAAAGAACAGGGAAGAGAGGGAGUGAAAGAAAGUGAAAGCGAAAGCAAAAAGGAGCCUGGCAUUUGUUCUGAAGUUCA
This 217-nucleotide unclassified non-coding RNA is filed under the name Hevea brasiliensis (rubber tree). Lineage: Eukaryota; Viridiplantae; Streptophyta; Magnoliopsida; Malpighiales; Euphorbiaceae. The record is from RNAcentral.